CUUAACACAUGCAAGUCGAACGGGGUGCUCAUGACGGAGGAUUCGUCCAACGGAUUGAGUUACCUAGUGGCGGACGGGUGAGUAACGCGUGAGGAACCUGCCUUGGAGAGGGGAAUAACACUCCGAAAGGAGUGCUAAUACCGCAUAAUGCAGUUGGGUCGCAUGGCUCUGACUGUCAAAGAUUUAUCGCUCUGAGAUGGCCUCGCGUCUGAUUAGCUAGUAGGCGGGGUAACGGCCCACCUAGGCGACGAUCAGUAGCCGGACUGAGAGGUUGACCGGCCACAUUGGGACUGAGACACGGCCCAGACUCCUACGGGAGGCAGCAGUGGGGAAUAUUGGGCAAUGGGCGCAAGCCUGACCCAGCAACGCCGCGUGAAGGAAGAAGGCUUUCGGGUUGUAAACUUCUUUUGUCGGGGACGAAACAAAUGACGGUACCUGACGAAUAAGCCAUGGCUAACUACGUGCCAGCAGCCGCGGUAAUACGUAGGUGGCAAGCGUUAUCCGGAUUUACUGGGUGUAAAGGGCGUGUAGGCGGGAUUGCAAGUCAGAUGUGAAAACUGGGGGCUCAACCUCCAGCCUGCAUUUGAAACUGUAGUUCUUGAGUGCUGGAGAGGCAAUCGGAAUUCCGUGUGUAGCGGUGAAAUGCGU
RNAcentral lists this ribosomal RNA (648 nucleotides) under uncultured Lachnospiraceae bacterium. RNAcentral describes it as "bacterial SSU rRNA". It matches the Rfam family "Bacterial small subunit ribosomal RNA", at positions 47 to 691 of the family's 1533-position model. The record is from RNAcentral. Lineage: Bacteria; Bacillati; Bacillota; Clostridia; Lachnospirales; Lachnospiraceae.